This is an RNA transcript of Aethalodelphis obliquidens (Pacific white-sided dolphin), 1390 nucleotides long. It is a transcript of the gene named chymotrypsin like elastase 1, with no coding region annotated. The transcript has 11 exons. NCBI's taxonomy places the organism in Eukaryota, Metazoa, Chordata, Mammalia, Artiodactyla, Delphinidae. The record is from RefSeq and is a predicted model, not a curated record.
CGUCUCCAAAUAUCCUCUGGCCCCCCAAUUUAGCCUCCACGCUGUGUCAAGCACAUGUAGACAUGAGGAGAUAAUAAGGCUCUUCCCCCAUGGAACUCAUACUUCAGCUGGGAAAACAGAGAGUUGACAGGAAGGUCAGCAAAGCUGCUGAUAAGCGGAGAUUAAAGAGGGCUUGGCUCGUGGCAAGGGGGCAGUGGUCUACUUGCUGGCAACAUGCUGCGCUUGCUGGUGUUCACCACGCUGGUCCUUCACGAACAUAGUGCCCAGGACUUUCCAGAAACCAACGCCCGGGUAGUUGGAGGGACUGAGGCCCGGAGGCAUUCUUGGCCCUCUCAGCAAACAUCACCAAAUGACGGAACACUCUUUUCUGCUGGUCCCAGGGGCAUCUACACGCCCCUUCUCACCACUACUCCAGGUAGCCUCAACAGCAAAAGGUCAAAUGAAAACAAUUCGCCAUCUCUAGCCCAGAAAGUUGGAGAAUGUUUUGAGAUUUCCCUCCAGUACCAGUCUGGAGGUUCCUGGUUUCACAUCUGUGGAGGGACCCUCAUCAGACGGAACUGGGUGAUGACAGCUGCUCACUGUGUGGACAAACAAAUGAGCUUCCGUGUGGUGGUUGGAGACCACAACCUGAGCCAGAACGAUGGCACCGAGCAGUACGUGAGAGUGCAGAGGAUCGAGGUGCAUCCCCACUGGAACAGCAAUAAUGUGGCUGCAGGCUAUGACAUCGCCCUGCUGCGCCUGGCCCAGAACGUUACCCUCAACAGCUAUGUCCAGCUGGGUGUUCUGCCAAAGGAGGGAACCAUCCUGACUAACAAGAGCCCCUGCUACAUCACAGGUUGGGGCAGGACCAUGACCAAUGGGCAGCUGGCCCAGACCCUGCAGCAGGCUUACCUGCCCACCGUGGACUACGCCACCUGCUCCAGCUCCUCUUACUGGGGCUCCACCGUGAAGAAUACCAUGGUGUGCGCUGGAGGAGACGGAGUUCACUCUGGAUGCCAGGGUGAUUCUGGGGGUCCCCUUCAUUGCUUGGUGAAUGGCCAGUACACUGUCCACGGUGUGACCAGCUUCGUGUCCAGCCUGGGCUGUAAUGUCUCCAGGAAGCCCACAGUCUUCACUCGGGUCUCUGCUUACAUCUCUUGGAUAAAUAACUGUACUUUCGCUCGAUAACGUUGCCGUCCUGAGUUCCACUUCACAUACCCACUAAGAAUGCUUCACUGUACUGUUUACUGCUUAGGGUCACUGCCAACAACUGAACAUUUUCUUGGGUCCAACGGCCUUCCCAAGAUGAUUCUUAGAUCCACAGCAGGACUUGAGGCCAUCCAGGAAAAACCAUUCUAACAGACUACUGAGCCAGAUGCAGAAAUGCAAAUAAAAUUGAAUAUAUAUAUUA